CAAGCCGACUGUCGCUGUUCAUCUUUGAUGGAGAGAGGAAAGUCCGGGCAGCAUAGAGUAACCGUGCUUCCUAACAGGAAGGAUUCGUUCGUUUUCGAACGGGUACAGAAAGUGCAGCAGAAAAGAAACCGCCAAUUUAUUGGUAAGGGUGAAAUGGUGAGGUAAGAGCUCACCGGCUCAGCAGUGAUGUUUGAGUGCAAGGUAAACCUCACGGGCUGAAAGAUCAUGUAAACCAAGCGAGUAGGGCUGCUCGUUCUCUUUCCUUCGGGAAUGCUUGGAGGGUAGAUCGAUAGAACCUAAGAGUGAUUUUAGGUCUAGAUAAAUGACAGUCAGUUUCGAGCAAUCGGAAUGUACAGAACCCGGCUUAUGGCUUGCUUU
This 378-nucleotide RNase P RNA is filed under the name Fluviicola sp. RNAcentral's name for it is "RNase P RNA component class A". It matches the Rfam family "Bacterial RNase P class A". Rfam says of the family: Ribonuclease P (RNase P) is a ubiquitous endoribonuclease, found in archaea, bacteria and eukarya as well as chloroplasts and mitochondria. Its best characterised activity is the generation of mature 5'-ends of tRNAs by cleaving the 5'-leader elements of precursor-tRNAs. The record is from RNAcentral. Lineage: Bacteria; Pseudomonadati; Bacteroidota; Flavobacteriia; Flavobacteriales; Crocinitomicaceae.